AAUAUACUCCCUCCGUCCCAAAAUUAUUGUCUUAGAUUCAUGUAGAUACGGAUGUAUCUAAUACUAAAUGUAACUAGAUACAUCUGUAUUUAGACAAAUCUAAGACAAGAAUUUUGGGACAGAGGGAGUACAAG
Molecule: non-coding RNA, 134 nt
Organism: Triticum aestivum (bread wheat)
Lineage: Eukaryota; Viridiplantae; Streptophyta; Magnoliopsida; Poales; Poaceae
Source: Rfam